Molecule: long non-coding RNA, 364 nt
Organism: Calidris pugnax (ruff)
Lineage: Eukaryota; Metazoa; Chordata; Aves; Charadriiformes; Scolopacidae
Exons: 3
Source: RefSeq, a predicted model, not a curated record
GGCGGCGGGGGAGGCCUGUGGGCAGCACAAAAUGCCGUCAGGAGGCUCGAAACGGGCCCGGUGGCAACUGGCGUCGGGAGAAACGACCCAGAAAAGUGCUGGAGCCUCUCCAGGAACAGAUUGGUGACAGAUUCCUGGAAGAAGGGGAAGCUCGCGAAAUGAUAAGGUUGGGAGUGGUUGGAGAGCGAAAGCCCCCAAAGGCGCCUCGUUAAAGCUCCGAGACAAGAUGCUGACGGUUCCCUCCGAAUCUGGCGGCCGUGGCGCAGGCGACAUAUGGCGUGAGAAGAGGAGCCGAUGGCAACAGAUUUUUUGGUUCAUUUUGAGAGAGAAACACGGAUAAACACAGGCUUUUGCUGUUUAAAAA